Orcinus orca (killer whale) is the source of this 231-nucleotide long non-coding RNA. RefSeq lists it as uncharacterized. The transcript is spliced from 3 exons. The record is from RefSeq and is a predicted model, not a curated record. NCBI's taxonomy places the organism in Eukaryota, Metazoa, Chordata, Mammalia, Artiodactyla, Delphinidae.
CUUGGACAUUACACAACUACAGAGAGGAUUGUUUAAGACAAGACAAGCAUAUCCAGGGAUGAGAUGGUAGAGAGAAGCAGAUGAUCAAGGACCAUAUCCUGGAAAGCACACAUGGUUAAGAAACAGAGAAGGUAUGAGACAAGAGGCCCAACUGCUGUGCUCUGGAAGGGACCACGGGUGGCUUACAGAUGUGCUGAGAGCUAAACUUACACAGAAAAUUAACCAGAGAAG